Molecule: ribosomal RNA, 496 nt
Filed under: uncultured bacterium
Lineage: Bacteria
Description: partial 16S ribosomal RNA
Rfam family: Bacterial small subunit ribosomal RNA
Source: RNAcentral
AUGAACGCUGGCGGCGUGCCUAAUACAUGCAAGUCGAGCGAACGGACGAGAAGCUUGCUUCUCUGAUGUUAGCGGCGGAUGGGUGAGUAACACGUGGAUAACCUACCUAUAAGACUGGGAUAACUUCGGGAAACCGGAGCUAAUACCGGAUAAUAUUUUGAACCGCAUGGUUCAAAAGUGAAAGACGGUCUUGCUGUCACUUAUAGAUGGAUCCGCGCUGCAUUAGCUAGUUGGUAAGGUAACGGCUUACCAAGGCAACGAUGCGUAGCCGACCGGAGGGGGUGGGCGGCGACGCUGGAAGUGGGACGGGGUCCAGGCGCCUACGGGAGGCAGCAGUAGGGAAUGGGCCGCAAAGGGGGGAAGCCUGACGGAGCAGCGGGGCGGGAGUGAUGAAGGUGUUGGGAGCGGAAGACUGUGUUAUGGGGGAAGAACAUAUGUGUAAGGAACUGGGCACAGCGUGACGGUACCUGGUCAGAAAGCCACGGCUAACUACGUG